RNA transcript from Eleginops maclovinus (Patagonian blennie), 3993 nucleotides. It is a transcript of the gene named lysine acetyltransferase 14, with no coding region annotated. The record is from RefSeq and is a predicted model, not a curated record. The transcript has 10 exons. NCBI's taxonomy places the organism in Eukaryota, Metazoa, Chordata, Actinopteri, Perciformes, Eleginopidae.
AUGGACAGCAGCAGCGAGCCGAUGGUCGGGGGGGAGGACGAGGCGGCUGGCACCUCAGCCUCCGAGGGUCUGGAGGAGGGGGAGGUGGAGGGGGAGACGCUGCUGAUUGUGGAGUCGGAGGACCAGGGCUCCGUGGACCUGUCACAUGACCAGAGCGGAGACUCAUUAACCAGUGAGCUGGGGGAGGAGGCAGAGGGGGGGGGCUGGGCCUGCGAGGAGAUGAGCUUCCACUGCGACCGUUGCCACAAGUGGAUCCCCUCAGCUCAGCUGAGGGAGGAGCAGCCCAGCUACCUGAAGGGGGACAACUUCUUUAAGUUCACCUGCAGCGACUGCUCUGAGGACAGCAAGGAGAGCUUCGAGAGGAUGAGGCUCACCUGGCAGCAGGUUGUGAUGCUGGCGAUGUACAACCUGUCUCUGGAGGGAACCGGCCGGCAGGGAUACUUCCGGUGGAAAGAGGACAUCUGCGCCUUCAUCGGCCGACACUGGAACUUCCUGCUGGGAACCAGGAAGAAGACCUCGACCUGGUGGAGCACGGUGGCCGGCUGCCUGUCCGUCGGCAGUCCCACCUUCUUCCGGUCCGGAGCGCAGGAGUUUGGAGAGCCCGGUUGGUGGAAGUUGGUCCAGAACAGACCUCCCACUCUGAAGCUGGACACCGACAAAUCCACCACCAAGACCAAAGCCUCGAAACCCGUCAUGGACCCCAUCAUCACGGUGGAGGGUCUGAGGAAGCGAGGAGCCAGGAACCCGGUGGAGAACGCCAUCCAGCUGAAGGAGAAGCGCUGCCGGACGCAGGAGGCCAAAGACAUCCGGCGGGCUCAGAAGGAGGCGGUGGGCGCUGGGGGGGGCUGCACAGACCGCAGUGCCUCUUCCACCCCUGUCAAACUGGGCGGAGGCCGGGGGGGGAACGCUGGCCGCCGACCGGACCUGGUCCUGGAGAAAGGAGAAGUGAUCGAUUUCUCCUCCCUCAGCUCGUCGGACCGGACCCCCCUCACCAGCCCCUCACCCUCACCCUCCCCUGAUUUCUCCGCCCCGGGGACGCCGGCCUCUCAUUCAGCGACGCCCAGCCUGCUGUCGGAGGCCGACCUGAUCCCCGACGCCAUGCCCCCGCAGGCCCUGUUCCACGACGACGAGGAGCUGGAGACGGAGGGGAUGAUCGACCCGGGGAUGGAGUACCUCCCUCCUCCUCGAGCCAGCCUCGUCGCCCGGAAGAAGCUCCGUCCGGUGGCGCCGCACAUCAAACGUGAAGCCGACAGCGAGGACGAAGAAGGACACGAUGAAGAGUUUGAAGGGCCGGUGGGACGCAGACAGGGGCCGUCGCUGUCCGCCGGGGGCUGUGUUGGUGCCGGAGGCCCAGAGAGGAGGAGGAUAACCCACCCUGAGAAAGCAGACGAAGACCCCCAUACUCCCUGCUUUUCCCCCCUCAGCCUCUACGAGGAGAGGAUGCUGCUCCGCCGGCUGGACUCCUGCCCGUUAGCUUUAGCCGUCACUCCGCAGGCCAAACGCCUCCACAGGAAGCUGCUGGUGCGCCAGGCCAAGAGGCAACGAGGGCUCCCCCUGCUGGACGUCGACCGGGCGAUCAGCGCCACCCUCAGCCUGGUGGGGGGGAUCUACGGCGCCCAGGGGACCCUGAUGCGAGGAGGACUCAUGGGGAAAUACUGCACAAACAGCCAGGAGUCGCGGAUUCUUGAUCGCUUCCAGACCAACCUCUCCGGCAGAAGAGGCCUCCAGCAGACCCCGGUGUCCUUCUGCCAUCGCCUGACAGGAGCAGAAGGCAGUUCGGACCUGAGCAUCAAGAGUCCGUACACCUCCCGCAUCCUGAAACCCUACAUCAGGAGGGAUUAUGAGAGUCGUCCGGUGAAGCUGAGGUUGUUGGAAGAGAUCAGAGCCUACCCCCACAGGAAGAACCCCAACUGGGUCCCUGAACCCAAUGCUCCCAUCGACUACUGCUACGUCCGCCCCAACCACAUCCCCUCGGUCAACGCCAUGUGCAACGAAAGCUUCUGGCCAGGUGUGGACCUGUCUGAGUGCCUGCAGUACCCAGACUUCAGCGUGGUCGUCCUCUAUAAGAAGGUGGUGAUCGCCUUUGGUUUCAUGGUGCCGGAUGUGAAGUACAACGAGGCCUACAUCUCCUUCCUGUUGGUCCAUCCGGAGUGGAGGAGGGCCGGCAUCGCCACCUUCAUGAUCUACCAUCUGAUCCAGGUGAGUCCUUCAUGGUCUAGCGUCUGAUCCAGGCGAGUCCUUCAUGGUCUAGCAUCUGAUCCAGGCGAGUCCUUCAUGGUCUAGCAUCUGAUCCAGGUGAGUCCUUCAUGGUCUAGCGUCUGAUCCAGGCGAGUCCUUCAUGGUCUAGCAUCUGAUCCAGGCGAGUCCUUCAUGGUCUAGCAUCUGAUCCAGGUGAGUCCUUCAUGGUCUAGCGUCUGAUCCAGGCGAUUCCUUCAUGGUCUAGCAUCUGAUCCAGGCGAGUCCUUCAUGGUCUAGCAUCUGAUCCAGGUGAGUCCUUCAUGGUCUAGCGUCUGAUCCAGGCGAGUCCUUCAUGGUCUAGCAUCUGAUCCAGGCGAGUCCUUCAUGGUCUAGCAUCUGAUCCAGGUGAGUCCUUCAUGGUCUAGCGUCUGAUCCAGGCGAGUCCUUCAUGGUCUAGCAUCUGAUCCAGGCGAGUCCUUCAUGGUCUAGCAUCUGAUCCAGGCGAGUCCUUCAUGGUCUAGCGUCUGAUCCAGGCGAGUCCUUCAUGGUCUAGCGUCUGAUCCAGGCGAGUCCUUCAUGGUCUAGCGUCUGAUCCAGGCGAGUCCUUCAUGGUCUAGCGUCUGAUCCAGGCAAGUCCUUCAUGGUCUAGCGUCUGAUCCAGGCGAGUCCUUCAUGGUCUAGCGUCUGAUCCAGGCAAGUCCUUCAUGGUCUAGCGUCUGAUCCAGGCGAGUCCUUCAUGGUCUAGCGUCUGAUCCAGGUGAGUCCUUCAUGGUCUAGCAUCUGAUCCAGGUGAGUCCUUCAUGGUCUAGCAUCUGAUCCAGGUGAGCUCAGUGAUUCCGUCAUCAGGUAUUUACUGGACUUUGAAAUUUAAAUCUCUGAAAGUAGGGCUUAUUUAAUCUGAAAGAAGAUCCCAGGUGUGCAGACUCUGAUGCAACCUGUAUCGAUUGACUGACUUCCUGUGUUUUCAGACGUGCAUGGGGAAGGACGUGACGCUGCACGUGUCGGCCAGUAACGCCGCCAUGCUGCUCUACCAGAAGUUUGGUUUCAAAUCGGAGGAGUACAUCCUGGACUUCUACGAUAAGUACUACCCUGUGGACAGCAUCGAGUGCAGACACGCCUUCUACCUGAGACUCCGGCGCUGAUCAGAGCUUCACCUCCAGCAGUCCUGACGGUCCAGAUGAGAUCUUCCUCCUAUAAUGGACAUCAAUCCGGCUGCAGCACAUUGCCUGGCUCAAAGGAAGCAGGGCAGAGACCUGAUGGGUCGCCAGAAACUGAGACAAUGUUGGAAGGAUUUCUCCAAAGUGGUAGCGUCUCUGUAGCUCUGUCUGUAUGGAAAGUGUUUGUACUGUCAUGUGAAGCUGAGGAUAUUAGUGUUAGACGCUCAGUAGUUAGAUUCCAGGGGCGGCUGCAGAUUGUUUCAGACAUUUCCAAAAACUCCAGAGCGUUAUGAUGUCCAAAAACACCUGCCCAAGUAUCCUGCUUCAGUACAUUUUGUAUUUGAACGUUCAGCCUUCAAACAUCUUCAGACGGGUUUUCAUAUCGAAGAUUUGAUUAAAGGAUUGUUUUGUUCCUGACAGAUAUUAAAAGCUUCAUGUAUAAACCCUGAAAGAGUCGGCGCAGCCUGUAAUAAACCCCUCUCACCUCCUCUGGAGGGAUGAGUGACGCCACCACUGACCCACCUGCAUGUCGGUGCUCAUGGAGGACUGUCGGUGCUUUCAGAAGAAUCUCUGAUGAACAAUCAUUCAGGAAACCUCAGCCGGGGUUGUUUCUGUAAGAUCAGAACAAUAAAUAUCUGGCCUUAAAUCUCAUAAUGAA